UAAGGUCGGAGACUGUUGAAGUAGAGAGAACAGUGAAUACCCAUCAUGCAGAAGAUAUAAGAGAGAAUCCCAUGGUGGUAAAUGCGCAUCCUGAUGCUUAGAGUGCAAGCUUAGUGAAAAGAUCACAUAUGUCUCUUCAUCAAAAUGAGCACUUGAGGAAAUAGAUACUAAUAAAGUUCUUACAUAAAAUGAGGUAGGUGUAAUUAACAGUCAUUUGAAGAAGAGAUCAACCAUAACUAGAAGAGUCCCUUUUACUUGAAAAUUUUGUAUGUGGUAGAUCAACACUUCACUCUUUGAUCCAUAACAUCUUGUAAAAGUUGAUGCCUUAUCAGAUAGGGCAAUCCCUAUAUUCUCCAUAGUCUCAUAUAAUGGAAUUAUUGGUAAGUAUAAAAAAUAUGUGUUAGUUGGGAACCAACUUUAUAUCAAGAGACUUAUAAAAGUACAUAUUGGGUGAUAGCUAAAAAAGAUGAAAUCAAUGCUCU
Molecule: long non-coding RNA, 482 nt
Filed under: Carica papaya (papaya)
Lineage: Eukaryota; Viridiplantae; Streptophyta; Magnoliopsida; Brassicales; Caricaceae
Description: long non-coding RNA (CPAP_LNC008460)
Source: RNAcentral